AAUAGUGAUUUGUGGUCUAUACGAGGUCAAAAAAUAACCGUUAUUUUCAAAUUUCGUGAGUUACCUACGUAUGUUCGAUUUUCGCAUUUUUUUCUGUUAUUAUUAUGGCACAUUAAAUGUUUUCAUUAAUUUUUGUCUGUUAUAUAUGUUGGCACUUGGCAAUAUCAGCCAUUUUGGAUUGUCAGUUUGUUUUUGACAGAUAAAAAGGUUAGUCGUGUUUUGGUGUGCUCUUCAAUUUUUUACUAUUCGACAAAAUGGAUUAAAGAAACUGUAUUAAGUUUUGUGUAAAAAAUUAAAUUAAAUGCGCUAGGACAUUUGAAAUGUUGACUGUGGCGUUUGGCGAGUCUACUAUGAGCACAACACAAGUUCAAUUGUGGUAUCGGUUGGAAGGCCGAGAAAAUAUCGAAGAUUCUUCGAGAUUGAAGCAGUGAAUCACUAUCAGUGAGAUGUCGGAAAAAAUAAGCCGUCUGGGUGCUUGCAAAGAAAACGCUGUCUAAGCCCUUUGAAAUAUAAUAAAAUAAUGUAUAGUGGAAUUUUGUGUAUGUUAUAUCUAUGUAGGUCUACAGAAAAAUCCGCGAAGGCAUAUAAUGUCUAUCUGGGGAUAGAUUACUAUAUUUAUCGAUUAUACUAUUAGAUUAAUAAUAAUUUAAUUAAUUAAUAUUACAUUUAUUAUAAUAUUAAAAAAAUUGGCAAUUACAAAAGCGGUAAUGUAAAAGCUUACACAAAUAGGAUAAAUCCUUAUCAUUUUAUUACACUUCAUAUUAUUACAUAUAAAAUAAUUCAGAAAUA
Long non-coding RNA from Leptidea sinapis, 789 nucleotides. RefSeq lists it as uncharacterized. The transcript has 2 exons. The record is from RefSeq and is a predicted model, not a curated record. NCBI's taxonomy places the organism in Eukaryota, Metazoa, Arthropoda, Insecta, Lepidoptera, Pieridae.